AGAGUUUGAUCCUGGCUCAGGAUGAACGCUAGCUACAGGCUUAACACAUGCAAGUCGAGGGGAAACGACAUCGAAAGCUUGCUUUUGAUGGGCGUCGACCGGCGCACGGGUGAGUAACGCGUAUCCAACCUGCCCACCACUUGGGGAUAACCUUGCGAAAGUAAGACUAAUACCCAAUGACGUCUCUAGAAGACAUCUGAAGGAGAUUAAAGAUUUAUCGGUGAUGGAUGGGGAUGCGUCUGAUUAGCUUGGUUGGCGGGGUAACGGCCACCAAGGCGACGAUCAGUAGGGUUCUGAGAGGAAGGUCCCCANAUUGGAACUGAGACACGGUCCAAACUCCUACGAGACGGCA
This 352-nucleotide ribosomal RNA is filed under the name uncultured bacterium. Its description in RNAcentral is "bacterial SSU rRNA". It matches the Rfam family "Bacterial small subunit ribosomal RNA", at positions 8 to 353 of the family's 1533-position model. The record is from RNAcentral.